AGUGAACGCUGGCGGUAGGCCUAACACAUGCAAGUCGAACGGCAGCACAGUAAGAGCUUGCUCUUACGGGUGGCGAGUGGCGGACGGGUGAGGAAUACAUCGGAAUCUACUUUUUCGUGGGGGAUAACGUAGGGAAACUUACGCUAAUAUCGCAUACGACCUACGGGUGAAAGCAGGGGAUCUUCGGACCUUGCGCGAUUGAAUGAGCCGAUGUUGGAUUAGCUAGUUGGCGGGGUAAAGGCCCACGAAGGCGACGAUCCGUAGCUGGUCUGAGCGGAUGACCAGCCACACUGGAACUUAGCCACGGUCCAGACUCCUACGGUCAGCAGCAGUGUGCAAUAUUGGACCAUGGGCGCAAGCAUGAUCCAGCCAUACCGCGUGGGUGAAGAGGGCCUUCGGGUUGUUAAGCCCUUUUGUUGGGAAAGAAAAGCAGCAGGUUAAUACCCCGCUGUUCUGCCGGUAACCAAAGAAUAAGCACCGGCUACCUUCGUG
Molecule: ribosomal RNA, 492 nt
Filed under: uncultured bacterium
Lineage: Bacteria
Description: partial 16S ribosomal RNA
Rfam family: Bacterial small subunit ribosomal RNA
Source: RNAcentral